GGAGCAAAUGACAGUGCAUCCCGCAGGACCUGGAGCUCCCCUGCUUCACCAACGUUAAGAAGUGAAGCCGUUACCUUUUAAACUUGCGGCCACUGAAUGUUACCGCGAGGCGCAGGUGUAGCUGCGCGUGCGAAUAAUUUAAUCAUUGUCCAACGGCUAUCUAUCUACUCCGUAAUAAACCGAUUCUUAAACACUGACAUUCCGCAGUCUAAAUAUCCAGAUUAAUUUAGAGGUGGCAGUCUGCAGUGAGACAACCCAGCAUGGAAAGACCAAGACAAUGACAAUGUCCACCCUUAUGCCUUCAAUCGGGCCCAUCAGGUCCCCAGAUUCUCCGGAGGCGCUGGAGCCGCUGAAUAUGAUUGGUCCACCGAGUGCACUGGAGCCGCUGGAUGCGCUAGCUUCGCUGGAGCCGCUAAAUGCGAUUUGUGCGCUGGAACCGCUGAAUGUGAUUGGUAUGCCAGAGCCGCUGAAUGUGAUUGGUCCGCCGAGUGCACUGGAGCCGCUGGAUGCGCUAGCUUCGCUGGAGCCGCUGAAUGCGAUUGGUGUGCCGGAGCCGCUGAAUGUUAUUGGUGCGCUGAGUGCACUGGAGCCGCUGGAUGCGCUGGAGCCGCUGGAGGAAAAGGGCAUGGGAGGAAGCUGCUCAUCCUCUUCCUCCAGGGAGGCGGUGGAGGCUAAGUAACUGUCCACCAGGGGGGCCAGCGCAUCAAGCUCUAUCUGCAAGCAGAGACGCAGUGAAGUCACUCAUGGCUUUGCUCAGUUCACAUGCUGUGCUGCACAGCUCUUCCCUGUGGAGGCAUGGGGGUGACCAUUUUAACAUGUCAACGAGUUGCAUCAUUGGAGUUUACUACCAAUCAUAUGUUAGUGCAUCUGCCAUUGUUUACUGAGAUGGUUGUACUCCUGUGAAAGGCUGAAAUCCAUUGUGCUGUGAUAAUGUUAAAUAUAACCGCCGUGAAGCGCAGUGCAUGGUGUGAAAUGCUGCAGACUGUGAAGGUGAGACGCCUGACUGGAAGCAAGCAUUUGUUCUGUUCCCAUUGAUUUGUGCUUUGUUGUAUGGCUACCCUAAGCCAGUCUUGCCUUAUUGUGGGUGAGAUACUCUGAGGUGGGCUAUUUCCAGGCAGCUUUAGCCCUCUCAUUCUCAGACUGCAGGAAUAUUUUGAAGCGAGCUAAAAAAAGGUGCUGGUGCUGAAUAGCAGCGCUGUAUAGUAAAAACAAGUCCACGUUUGACUCACUGGAGAAGGACACACCUUCACAAAACUGCCAACACGGCAUCUGACUGCAUAGACCAUGAUCUCAGCCAGCUGGGCGGCUGCAGCCCCGCAGUUCUGUCUCUGACCACACGGGGACGCUGGGCACUCAUUCUGGGUCUCAGUAAGCAGCAGCAGCUGCCUGCUUUUUCUCUCCGAUGUUUGUAAAUCUUAUCCUCUCUGCCAGACAGCAGUGGUCCUUGUGGAACCAAGACA
Anguilla rostrata (American eel) is the source of this 1460-nucleotide long non-coding RNA. RefSeq lists it as uncharacterized. The transcript is spliced from 3 exons. The record is from RefSeq and is a predicted model, not a curated record. NCBI's taxonomy places the organism in Eukaryota, Metazoa, Chordata, Actinopteri, Anguilliformes, Anguillidae.